AUGUCCUCUUGAGUUCCCUUUAACGCUUCAUUGUUCAGACUUGGUUGUCUAAUAUCUACCGAUACAUCAACGUAAUGAACACUGAAGUGUUUGGGGGGACUCUAGGUGGCAU
Molecule: microRNA precursor, 112 nt
Organism: Brassica oleracea var. oleracea
Lineage: Eukaryota; Viridiplantae; Streptophyta; Magnoliopsida; Brassicales; Brassicaceae
Rfam family: mir-395 microRNA precursor family
About the family: mir-395 was identified in both Arabidopsis thaliana and Oryza sativa computationally and was later experimentally verified. mir-395 is thought to target mRNAs coding for ATP sulphurylases.
Source: Rfam